CCUCACCCACUCAAGGAAGCAGGGGUGGCCAGGUUCCCACAGCCUGAGGGGCUGCCACCUGACGGCUGAUGGAGUGGAGGCCUGAGGAAAAGCAGAUGGCACUGGGGCCCUACCUCCAGGGCAGAAUAACUGAUUUACCCUGACUGGCAGUGAGUGAGGUUGGUGGCUGGUCCACCUGCACCUGGCACACCCUUGCAGAGGUGGCUGGUUGCUCUUUGAGCCAGCUUGGCCUUGCCUGGCAUGCACAGGCCUCAGUGCAACAACUGUGCUGCAAAUGGAGCCACAUAGAGGAAAUGAGCAGCAGGCUCAGGAGCAGGGUGUGCACUGCCUUUGGGGCUCCAGUCCAUGCAUCAGGGCUCCUACAGCACUGUGGGCUUCUUGGGUGCCAAGAGGCAGACCACAGGCCAUCUUGAGAAGGACUCUAUGUUCAAGUGCAGAAAGGGCCCAAUCUGGUGGAUGAACCACACGGCCAGCUUCUGGGUGCAGGCACAGUGCCACAUCUUCCAUCACUUCCUGAUGUGCCACACCAGCACUGAAGAGACAGCCUGGAGACAGGGCAAGAGGAAGGCUAAGAAGGAUGAGAUGGUGAAUUCCAGCUUCUUUCUGACCCUGAGCCCACCCCCAAGGUGGCCCUCAACCUUUAGGAGUGGGAGAACAAGAUUGACGGCUUUGAGUGCUUUACCAAGAAGAUAGACAACAGGGCACUCAGCUCAAUUUCUCAGCCAAUGAGUUGACAUGCAAGCAGAUGAUGGUGAUGGGCUUUAAGAAAGUGCAUCAGAAGGUGGCCAGUUCUUCAUCCUCAGCCAGGUCUUGCAGCUGGAGCAGGCCAUCACUUCACCAGAGAUGCCUUCAACACUGUCGGUGAGUUCUUUGCCAAUCAGCCCAGCCAGGAAUGGGACCCAGUCAUGGACCUGUUAGUGCUGUCUCAGGGACACCAGGCCAACAUCCCGGACAUCAUCCACAUACACAAGGAAGCUCUAACCAAAGUCACGGAGAGUAGGCAACAUGUGGCAGAAGGGAAGACAGAGGUGCAGAGGCUGAUGAUGUCGGAAUCACAGGAACAGGAUUUCUUUGGACACUGUGGCUGAAAUUCACCACUUCCAUCCAAUUCAAGUGAGAAACAUGGACUCACAGAUGCAGCAUUUCUUGCAACAAGAGAUACUAUUUUUUCAAAAAGUCACCCGGGAAUUUAUAGUGUUGAAUGACUAGAUACUUGAUUGUGGACUGUUUCCAGUUCAAGGAUACUUUCUACAGCAGAACAAUAACACUAGCAAAGAGCUAGUGCCAGGUAUUGGUGGUAGUACAAGGAUGGUUUUGUUCUCAAUUGAAACUCAGCUGAAUAUAGAAUUGUGUAGGAAACAGUUAAUAUGGUGAUAGAGUAGAAACAGUAGCAAACAUGACCUAAACCAUGCUAUGAAUUCCUACACUACCAUUGUAACUUUUGGAAGAAUGAUACCACUUACUUUAUUGCUUUUUGAAGUAUGAAUAUUUUAGUGUAUAUGCUGUAGACCCCAAACCCUGUGAAGAGUCUCAAAGAAGCUGGCUGGGUAAAGCCUGCUAUGGAUGUCUUUAUAUUCAAAGAUUGAUGAUGCAAUUUGAAUAUGUGUCCCUACCAAAUCUCAUGUUGAAUUAUAUUUCCUAACGUUGAAGGUGGAUCCUGGUCUAAGGUGAUUGAAUCCUGAAGGCAAAUUUCUCAUGAAUGGUUUAGCACCAUCCCCUUGCUGCUGUCCUCACAAUCAUGAGUGACUUCUCAUGAGACCUGGUCAUUGAAAACUCUAUGUCACCUCCCUACUCCGCAUGUUUUCCUCUUGCCAUGUGAGACAACUCACUCUUUCUUCACCUUGCAGGAAGAUUGGAAGAUUACUGAGGCCUCCUAGAAGCAGAAGCCCUGUGCUUCCUGUCCACCCUGCAGAACCAUGAGCCGAUUAAACCUCUUUUUCAAAAUGAAUCUUACAGAAAAUGGCAAAUGAGGACUGAAGCAUUACUAUAAAGAUACCUGAAAAUGUGGAAACAGCUUUGGAACUAGGUGGAGAUCUGCCCAAAGCCUUGGGAGCCCAGCCCUCACACCCCUGUGCCGUGGAUGUGGGACAAGGAUUCCAAAAGGAUGAUUUUGGAGCUGUAGGAUUGAAUGACGGGCCUGCUGGGUUUUGGACAUUCAUGUAUCCUGCUGUGAUGAAGAUAGGUGAAAAUGUAAAAGCAGGUUCACAAGUGGCUAACAGCCAGAGGUCGGAGAGUUUGGAGGACUUGGAAGAAGACAGGAAGAUGAAGGAAAGUUUGGACCAUUGUAGAGACUUGUUAAAUAGUUGUAAUUAAAAUGCUGACAGAAGGAGGAACAAAGGCCAGGCUUAUGAGGUCUCAGAUGAAAAUGAGGAACUUACUGGGAACAGGAGCCAAAGUUACUUUUGUUUUGCUGUAACAAAGAACAUGGGUGAGGGUGACCUUGCCCUUGAGAUCUGUGAAACUUUAAACUUGAGGUUGAUGAUUCAGGGUGUAUCUGGUGGAAUGAACAUCUAGGCAGCAAAUCUCAAGAUGUGUCCUGUCUGUGUCAAACAGCCUGUGCCCUUAUGUGUGACCAAGGAAAUGACCUCAAGUUGUAACUUAUAUUUAAAUGACAAGCAGAGCUCAAAAGUUUGGAACAUUUGCAGCCUGGCCAAGUGGUCAAAACAAAAGCUGAUUUUCAGAGGGAAAAUUCAUGAUGGCUUCAAAAAUUUGCAUAAAAUGAAGGCCAGUGCUAAUAGCUGAGGCAAUGGGGGAGAAAGCCUUGGAGGCAUUUCAGAGAUGUUUGCAGCAGCCCUUGCUGUCACAGGCCCUGGGACCUAGGAGAAAAGAGUGGUUUCCUGGGCCAGCCCCAUGGCCCUGCUGCUGUGUGCAGCCUCAGGAUACAGCUGCCUGCAUCCCUGCAGCUCCAGCUCCUGCACCAGCCUUGUCUCAAAGAUGCACAGGUACAGCUUGGGACACCACUUCAGAAGGUGCAACCUAUAAGCCUUGGUGGCUUCCACAUAGUGUUAAGCCAGUGGGUGCACAGACCACUAGUUCAGAGGCUUGAGAUCCUCCAUAUAUAUUUUGGAAGAUGUGUGAAAGUGCCUGGGUGUCCAGACAGAAGGCUGCCAAAAAGCCAGAGCCUCAUGGGAAACCUCUACUAGGGCAGUGCAGAAGGAAAAUAUGGGGUUGGAACCCCCACACUGGAGGCCACCAUCAUGCAGACCCCAGAUUCAUAGACCCACCAAGAGCUUUGUACCCUCCAUGGGUAAAAACUACAGGCACUCAACACCAGCACAGCCCAUGAAGGCAGCUGCAUGGGCUGAACACUGCAAAGCCACAGGUGCAGAGCUGCCCAAGGCCUUUGGAGCCCAGCCCUCACACCCUUGUGCCCUGGAUGUGGGACAAGGAUAAAAAAGGGGUGACUUUGGAGCUGUGGGUUUGAAUAACUGGCCUGCUGGGUUUUGGACUUUUCAUGGAGCUUGUAAGUCCUAUUUGUGUUUUGUUCUCUCAGGCAAAAAUAUUCCUUUUGGCUAGGAAUUCUUAAUGCCUGAACAAUCAUUGUACCUUGGAAGUAGUUAACUUGUUUGUAUUUCAGAGGCUCAGGGGCAGAAGAGACUGCCUCAUCUCAGAUGAGACUUUGGGCUUCAGACAUUUGAGUAAAUGCUGGAAUGAGUUAAGACCUUGUGGCACUGUAGGUGUGGCCUGGUGGGAGGUGAUUUAUUCCUGUACUUGAGAGGGGUGGAGUUGGAAGUAAAAAGAAGUGGGCUGCAACAAGGAUGGAUGAAAAUGUAAAAGCAGGUUCAGAAGAGGGUAACAGCCAGAGGUUGGAAAGUUUGGAGGCCUUGGAAGA
Long non-coding RNA from Homo sapiens (human), 3832 nucleotides. RefSeq lists it as uncharacterized. The record is from RefSeq and is a predicted model, not a curated record. The transcript is spliced from 5 exons. Lineage: Eukaryota; Metazoa; Chordata; Mammalia; Primates; Hominidae.